Molecule: ribosomal RNA, 492 nt
Filed under: uncultured bacterium
Lineage: Bacteria
Description: partial 16S ribosomal RNA
Rfam family: Bacterial small subunit ribosomal RNA
Source: RNAcentral
AGUGAACGCUGGCGGUAGGCCUAACACAUGCGAGUCGAACGGCAGCACAGUAAGAGCUUGCUCUUACGGUUGGCGAGUGGCGGACGGGUGAGGAAUACAUCGGAGUCUACUUUUUCGUGGGGGAUAACGUAGGGAAACUUACGCUAAUACCGCAUACGACCUACGGGUGAAAGCAGGGGAUCUUCGGACCUUGCGCGAUUGAAUGAGCCGAUGUCGGAUUAGCUAGUUGGCGGGGUAAAGGCCCACCAAGGCGACGAUCCGUAGCUGGUCUGAGAGGAUGAUCAGCCACACUGGAACUGAGACACGGUCCAGACUCCUACGGGAGGCAGCAGUGGGGACUAUUGGACAAUGGGCGCAAGCCUGCUCCAGCCAUACCGCGUGGGUGAAGAAGGCCUUCGGGUUGUAAAGCCCUUUUGUUGGGAAAGAAAAGCAGCAGGUUAAUACCCCGCUGUUCUGACGGUACCCAAAGAAUAAGCACCGGCUAACUUCGUG